GACGAACGCUGGCGGCGUGCUUAACACAUGCAAGUCGAACGGAAAGGCCCUGCUUUUGUGGGGUGCUCGAGUCGCGAACGGGUGAGUAACACGUGAGUAACCUGCCCUUGACUUUGGGAUAACUUCAGGAAACUGGGGCUAAUACCGGAUAGGAGCUCCUGCUGCAUGGUGGGGGUUGGAAAGUUUCGGCGGUUGGGGAUGGACUCGCGGCUUAUCAGCUUGUUGGUGGGGUAGUGGCUUACCAAGGCUUUGACGGGUAGCCGGCCUGAGAGGGUGACCGGCCACAUUGGGACUGAGAUACGGCCCAGACUCCUACGGGAGGCAGCAGUGGGGAAUAUUGCACAAUGGGCGGAAGCCUGAUGCAGCAACGCCGCGUGCGGGAUGACGGCCUUCGGGUUGUAAACCGCUUUCGCCUGUGACGAAGCGUGAGUGACGGUAAUGGGUAAAGAAGCACCGGCUAACUACGUG
Molecule: ribosomal RNA, 468 nt
Filed under: uncultured bacterium
Lineage: Bacteria
Description: partial 16S ribosomal RNA
Rfam family: Bacterial small subunit ribosomal RNA
Source: RNAcentral